GAGUUGUUAAAGCAAUGACACCUAGACGUAUAAAUGCACGGAAAGACUUGAAAAUAGUGCAAGUAUUUGUUUAAAAAAAAUUAUUAAUUUUGUGUCUAUGUACAUUCUCCGCAGGAAGGAAUGUGCUUCUUUUAAGGACACAUGUCAUAGUCAGCGAAAAAGGGAACAACUUUAUUUAGUGGAAACACAUUGAAAUGCGUUGCAUGAACCUUUGAUGGGUGUUG
Non-coding RNA from Pelobates cultripes (western spadefoot toad), 224 nucleotides. The record is from the annotation of a GenBank genome assembly. Lineage: Eukaryota; Metazoa; Chordata; Amphibia; Anura; Pelobatidae.